This 207-nucleotide unclassified non-coding RNA is filed under the name Hevea brasiliensis (rubber tree). Lineage: Eukaryota; Viridiplantae; Streptophyta; Magnoliopsida; Malpighiales; Euphorbiaceae. The record is from RNAcentral.
AAAAAAAGAGAGACCCACGCCCACGCACAAUACACACGCGUUGCCAGUUGUUGGAAGUCUUUUGCUUCGAUUCCAUCAGAUUAACAAUGCGAGAAAAGAAAGAGAGAGGAAAAAGUUGAGUUUCUGUAGAGAUAUAAAAGAUGAUAAUACCAGGAGAUACCUUAUGCUUGUAAUUUGUUUUAAUCAUUUUAUCUGUAAUUAACCUAA